CUUGACUGUAGCUUGGAAUUGGGUUCGGGCUCUUCUUGCGCAGCCUAGGUGGGAGGCUAUGAAGGCAGACUUUUGGGUUUGCUGGAGCCAACAGUGAGAGACCACUCUGGGAGAGCUAGAAUUCUAAUGGCGUUCUUUGAAGCAAGACGCUUGACAGUUUCAGGUGGGCAGUUUGACUGGGGCGGUCACCUCCUAAAAGGUAACGGAGGUGUGCAAAGGUUCCCUCAGGCUGGACGGAAAUCAGCCGUAGAGUGUAAAGGCAGAAGGGAGCUUGACUGCAAGACCUACAAGUCGAGCAGGGGCGAAAGCCGGCCUUAGUGAUCCGACGGUUCCGUGUGGAAGGGCCGUCGCUAAACGGAUAAAAGUUA
RNAcentral lists this ribosomal RNA (368 nucleotides) under uncultured organism. RNAcentral's name for it is "bacterial LSU rRNA". It matches the Rfam family "Bacterial large subunit ribosomal RNA", at positions 2099 to 2465 of the family's 2925-position model. The record is from RNAcentral.